Molecule: long non-coding RNA, 1542 nt
Filed under: Numida meleagris (helmeted guineafowl)
Lineage: Eukaryota; Metazoa; Chordata; Aves; Galliformes; Numididae
Description: lncRNA (ENSNMEG00000001408.1)
Source: RNAcentral
GGGAGGGUGGUGAGUGUGCAAAGGGGUGUGCAAGGGGGAUGAGUGUGCAUGGGGGGGUGCACGUAGGGGUGGCGGUAGUGGUGUGCAGGUGCACGUGGGUGAGUGUGCAAGGGUGGGUGGGUGCACGUGGGCAUGCAUGUGCUCGUGGGUGGGUGUGCACAGGUGUGUGAGUGCACGUGGGUGUGCGCAUGGGUGUGCAUGUGCACCAUGCGGGUGUGUGCACAGGUGUGGGUGUGCAUGUGGGUGAGUGUGCACAGGUGUGGGUGUGCAUGUGGGUGUGCAUGUGCACGUGGGCGAGUGUGCACAGGUGUGGGUGUACACUGGGAAGUGUGUGUGUGCACGGGUAUCUGUGCAUUGGGGAGUGUGUUUGCACAUGGGGGGGUGUGCAGGUCUGUGGAGGGAUGUGGGUGUGCACACAGGUGUGCACACUCAAGUGUGAGCGCACUUCUGCACGGUUGUGCGUGCACGGAGGUGGUUGUGCACGUGGGUGUGCAUUGGGGUGGGUGUGCACGGAUAUGUGUGAGUGCACAUGGGUGUGCACAGAGAUGGGCGUGUGCAUGCAGAGAGAUCUGUGUGGGCACAUGGGUGUGCAUUGGGGUGCACGCACCUGGGUGUGUGCAUGGGAUGUGUGCACACGGGUGGAUGUGCAAGGCUGUGGGUGUGCACUUGAGUGUGAACACAAAUGUGCGUGCACAGGUGACGGUGUGCUACCGCACAUGGCUUCGCAUGCACAGAUGUGUGCGUGUGCACGUGGGUGUGCACACGGGGGUGUGCACCAGUUUGGGUGUGGAUGGGGGCAGACGUGCAAGGGGGUGGGUGUGCACGGAGGUGGGUGUGCACAUGGGUGUGCACGGCGAUGUGAGCACCUGUGUGAGUGUGCAUGUGUGCAAGGAUGUGUGUGCAUGGUUGUGCAUGCAUGUGGGAGUGUGUGCACGUUUGUGCAUGCGUGCUUGGAUAUGUGUGUGCAUGGGAUAUAUGUGCACAGUUGUGUGUGCACAUGGGCGUGCGGGCACGUUUGUGCACGUGUGCAGGGACGUGUGUGCACGUGGGUGUGUGUACAUGGGGUAUGUGUGCAUGGUUGUGCGUGCACGUGGGUGUACGUGCACGUUUGUGCAUGUGUGCUUAGAUGUGUGCGUGUGCAUGGGAUUUGUGCACACUUGUGCGUGCGCAUGGGUGUGCGGGCACAUUUGUGCACGUGUGCAUGGUUGUGCACGUGGGCGUGUGCAUGGAUGUGUGUGUGCACGGCGGUGGUGGGUGCGCGUGCACGGGUGUAGGUGUGCACGGGGGCGUGCACGGGGCCACACGCACUUGGGUUCCCUCGGGUGCGUGUGCACGGGGGUGUGCACGUGGGGUGCGGGUGUAGGUGUGCACUUGGGGGGGGCUGUGUGCACAGACGUGCACGGGGGUGCCCACGUGAGUGUGACAAUGGUGACAAUGGGGGUGUGUGUGUGGGGGGGGGUGCACACUGGGGCCAGUGGUCACCAUGGCGACCGCAUCCCUGGGUUUGGGUGGCAGCGGUCGCCGUGGCAACCGAGAUGCGAC